CAUGGUGUGGAGUUAGAGAGAAGUUCCUCAGCUGGAGAAGAGAGGAAUGCUACAAGUUUGUUACCAUUAGAUCUGUUCUGUGAGAAAUGCUAAUGGGAGUCUGUCCUUCCGGUCAAGAUGUAAAGAAGCUAAAAAGUCAUUUGAAGGUGUAUGAAGAAAUGCAGAUCUUCAGUAAAGGUUGGAAAGAGCAUCGUGGGUUCUCAUUAGGUGCUUCUCAUCUUCUGUGCAGCCAGCCCUGGGAUGUCAUAGGCUCCUUUGCCCCUCAGUUUCACCUCUAAUAGAAAAGGGAGG
Molecule: long non-coding RNA, 291 nt
Organism: Marmota monax (woodchuck)
Lineage: Eukaryota; Metazoa; Chordata; Mammalia; Rodentia; Sciuridae
Exons: 3
Source: RefSeq, a predicted model, not a curated record